UCCUAACCGAGGUACCUACCUACUUACUAAUACCUAUGUUUGUUAUUGCUAAAGUACCGUGCAGCAAUCCAGCCAAGUUAAUUACACAGAGAAAAUAAUAUAGUUACAAGCCAAAUGGUAGACGAUGGACACAUUGUAAGAAGAUUUUCAGGAGUCGCCGAGAAGAAUGUUAUUCUAAAGACCUUGAUUACCGCUCAAUUAAUUUUGCUAUUAUGAACUUUGCUUUGUAUGUAUUUAAAUGAAAUAAAUGUAAGAAUUGUUUA
This is a long non-coding RNA of Colias croceus (clouded yellow), 263 nucleotides long. RefSeq lists it as uncharacterized. NCBI's taxonomy places the organism in Eukaryota, Metazoa, Arthropoda, Insecta, Lepidoptera, Pieridae. The transcript is spliced from 2 exons. The record is from RefSeq and is a predicted model, not a curated record.